AACGCGAAGAACCUUACCUAGUCUUGACAUGCAGGGGACCGCGGCAGAAAUGUCGCUUUUCGAAAGAACCGCUGCACAGGUGCUGCAUGGCUGUCGUCAGCUCGUGCCGUGAGGUGUUUGGUUAAGUCCAGCAACGAGCGCAACCCUUAUCAUUAGUUGCCAACACUUAGGGUGGGAACUCUAAUGAGACUGCCUGGGUAACCAGGAGGAAGGUGAGGAUGACGUCAAGUCAGCAUGGCCCUUAUGACUAGGGCGACACACGUGCUACAAUGGUCGGUACAGAAGGCAGCAAAGCCGUAAGGUGGAGCAAAUCCCAAAAGCCGGCCUCAGUUCAGAUUGUAGUCUGCAACUCGACUACAUGAAGUCGGAAUUGCUAGUAAUGGCGCGUCAGCCAUAGCGCCGUGAAUACGUUCCCGGGCCUUGUACACACCGGUAUCUC
Molecule: ribosomal RNA, 439 nt
Filed under: uncultured bacterium
Lineage: Bacteria
Description: bacterial SSU rRNA
Rfam family: Bacterial small subunit ribosomal RNA
Source: RNAcentral